CCGUAGGACCAUCAUGUAUAGUUCGAUAUAUCAUGUGACACAUGUUUUGUUUUGUUUUGUAUGGUAGUUAGACACAUUUUCAGACGAUUGAAUGGCGUCACAAGUUGUCCUUUCAUUCAUGAUGAGCAUGGCAUGCAUAUUCAAUGACGACACACUGAUCUUUCAUCAUAGCUCACAAAAGCAUAAAGUCACAAAAAAAGCUCACAAAAGCAUAACACACACAUCCAAUCUAUCAUCCACAUAUUUCGCUGAAGCCAUCAUCCACAGAAUUCAUAGGAUUGACAUCAAAAGUCUUAAAUCAUACACAAUUCAUUGAAGCAAACAUGCAUACACAUAAGUUCCAGGUUCCAACCACACAUUAUUCGAGCACACUUGUUCUAGCACAUAGUUCCAGGUUCCACCAUAGAGGUUGUAAUAGAUAAACAGAUAGCACAUUGUACUGAUAAAGUUCCAACCACACAGAGUAAGUUCUAGCUAGGUAGCAAUAACUUAGGCAAAAGCCUCGUCCUC
Molecule: long non-coding RNA, 510 nt
Filed under: Sorghum bicolor (sorghum)
Lineage: Eukaryota; Viridiplantae; Streptophyta; Magnoliopsida; Poales; Poaceae
Description: long non-coding RNA (SBIC_LNC013233)
Source: RNAcentral